RNAcentral lists this transfer RNA (72 nucleotides) under Mus musculus (house mouse). RNAcentral describes it as "tRNA-Ala". The record is from RNAcentral. Lineage: Eukaryota; Metazoa; Chordata; Mammalia; Rodentia; Muridae.
GAGGAUGUGACUCAGAGGUAGAGCUCUUGCUUAGCAUGCAUGAGGCACGGGGUUCCAUCCCCAGCGCUUUGA